GCUGACUCCUCAGUUAACUUUGACGGACCGUGAAACAACGGCUAAGAUUCCUCAGUAAGUAAUGCAACACUAGAAGUCCUAUUUGGAUGGGAAGAGACAGUGGACGCCGAUUGGGGACCGCAGGACACUUGUGAAAAGGUGAAGAGCCAAGUGUGAAACAAACAGGCGUAGACUAUAAGGAAUACAAAGCAGUGAAAUGCAGGAAGGAAUGCAUGUGUGGAGGGAUGAACCAUGUGAUCAAGGCACCUUGUGAUGGUCCUGCAGCUCGAUCUCUGUGUAUAAAGGGCCGUGUUUACUGAUAAAUUCAGAGAGGUGCAGUGCGCUCUCCUUGGAACUGAAAUGAUUACUGUUCUUCAUGGCUGCUUGUUUCUUGGAGGUUAACUGUAACAAAGGCCGGUAAUAUCUGGCUGGGUGUGGUGAUCCUGAUGUGCCAGUUCUAUAAAUAUUCUGCCAACUUGUUUCAGUUUUGGGUGCAGCAGCAGCACCUGAGGCAGACACACCUGUUCCCUCAUAUCUGGAGACACUCUGAAUUAUAGGAUACAAAGGAAAAUAUCGUAAACCUCCUGUUGAGUAGCCACAAAAAAGC
This is a non-coding RNA of Plectropomus leopardus (leopard coralgrouper), 586 nucleotides long. The record is from RefSeq and is a predicted model, not a curated record. Lineage: Eukaryota; Metazoa; Chordata; Actinopteri; Perciformes; Serranidae.